This is a non-coding RNA of Cinara cedri, 292 nucleotides long. The record is from the annotation of a GenBank genome assembly. NCBI's taxonomy places the organism in Eukaryota, Metazoa, Arthropoda, Insecta, Hemiptera, Aphididae.
CCGCCGCCGUAGUCGUGUAACGUCAGACGUGUCGCCGCGCAGCAAAAACUUUCUCGUGGCCGCCGCCGGCGUACGUACGGCCGCCGAACGUCUCGUUUUCUGCACACCGCCACCGUAACAUACCGAUGGAACCGCCACCGUCGUGGACGCCGUUGCGGCGUUUCGUCUUCGGACUGAUUUUGAUAGGCUUCGUCCCACAGCAGGCGUUGCUCAGCUCCGCCCAGAAUUCGUCGAUUCUGGAAUACAUGAUUACCUUUCAAAAUGACCUAAACGAAGUGAGUAUUUCAACAUC